RNAcentral lists this ribosomal RNA (576 nucleotides) under uncultured bacterium. RNAcentral describes it as "bacterial SSU rRNA". It matches the Rfam family "Bacterial small subunit ribosomal RNA", at positions 28 to 599 of the family's 1533-position model. The record is from RNAcentral.
AUUGAACGCUGGCGGCAUGCCUUACACAUGCAAGUCGAACGGCAGCACGGGAGCAAUCCUGGUGGCGAGUGGCGAACGGGUGAGUAAUGCAUCGGAACGUGCCCAGUAGUGGGGGAUAGCCCGGCGAAAGCCGGAUUAAUACCGCAUACGACCUAUGGGUGAAAGCGGGGGAUCGCAAGACCUCGCGCUAUUGGAGCGGCCGAUGUCAGAUUAGGUAGUUGGUGGGGUAAAAGCCCACCAAGCCGACGAUCUGUAGCUGGUCUGAGAGGACGACCAGCCACACUGGGACUGAGACACGGCCCAGACUCCUACGGGAGGCAGCAGUGGGGAAUUUUGGACAAUGGGGGCAAGCCUGAUCCAGCCAUGCCGCGUGCGGGAAGAAGGCCUUCGGGUUGUAAACCGCUUUUGUCAGGGAAGAAACGCUCUAAAUUAAUACUUUGGAGUAAUGACGGUACCUGAAGAAUAAGCACCGGCUAACUACGUGCCAGCAGCCGCGGUAAUACGUAGGGUGCAAGCGUUAAUCGGAAUUACUGGGCGUAAAGCGUGCGCAGGCGGUUAUGCAAGACAGAUGUUAAA